RNAcentral lists this ribosomal RNA (459 nucleotides) under uncultured bacterium. RNAcentral's name for it is "partial 16S ribosomal RNA". It matches the Rfam family "Bacterial small subunit ribosomal RNA", at positions 338 to 795 of the family's 1533-position model. The record is from RNAcentral.
CCUACGGGCGGCUGCAGUGAGGAAUAUUGGUCAAUGGCCGGAAGGCUGAACCAGCCAAGCCGCGUGAAGGACGAAGGUGCCAAGCAUUGUAAACUUCUUUUGUCAAGGGACAAAAUCAGGCUCGAGAGCCUGACCGAGGGUACUUGAAGACAAAGCAUCGGCUAACGCCGUGCCAGCAGCCGCGGUAAUACGGAGGAAGCGCGCGUUAUUCGGUUUUAUUGGGUGAAAGGGGUACGUAGGCGGACUGUUAAGUCAGCGGUAAAAGCCCGGGGCUCCACCCCGGCGAGCCGUUGAAACUGGCUGUCUUGAGAUGUCGAGAGGUAUGCGGAAUGCGCAGUGUAGCGGUGAAAUGCUUAGAUAUUGCGCAGAACUCCGAUUGCGAAGGCAGCAUACCGGCGGCGAUCUGACGCUGAGGCACGAAAGCGUGGGUAUCGAACAGGAUUAGAUACCCGAGUAGUC